GAUGAACGCUGGCGGCGUGCCUAAUACAUGCAAGUCGAGCGAACGGACGAGAAGCUUGCUUCUUUGUUGUUAGCGGCGGACGGGUGAGUAACGCGUGUAUAACCUACCUAUCAGACUGGGAUAACUUCGGGACAGCGGAGCUAAUAGCGGAUAAUAUUUUGAUCCGCAUGGUUGAAAAGUGAAUGACGGUGUUGCUGUCACUUAUAGAUGGAUCCGCGCUGCAUUAGCUAGUUGGUAAGGUACAGGGCUACCAAGGCAACGAUGCCUAGCCGACCGGAGAGGGUGAUCGGCCGCCUGGGAACGGGAACACGGUCAAGACGCCUACGGUAGGCAGCAGUAGGGAAUCUGCCGCAAUGGGCGAAAGCCUGACGGAGCAACGCCGCGUGAGUGAUGAAGGUGUUCGGAGCGUAAAACUCUGUUAUUAGGGAAGAACAUAUUUGUAAGUAGCUGUGCACAUCGUGACGGUACCUAAUCAGAAAGCCACGGCUAACUACGUG
RNAcentral lists this ribosomal RNA (497 nucleotides) under uncultured bacterium. RNAcentral's name for it is "partial 16S ribosomal RNA". It matches the Rfam family "Bacterial small subunit ribosomal RNA", at positions 28 to 507 of the family's 1533-position model. The record is from RNAcentral.